GGUUGACCUCGGAUCAGGUAGGGAUACCCGCUGAACUUAAGCAUAUCAAUAAGCGGAGGAAAAGAAACCA
Molecule: ribosomal RNA, 70 nt
Filed under: Mycocaliciaceae sp.
Lineage: Eukaryota; Fungi; Ascomycota; Eurotiomycetes; Mycocaliciales; Mycocaliciaceae
Description: partial 28S ribosomal RNA
Rfam family: Eukaryotic large subunit ribosomal RNA
Source: RNAcentral